Dentipellis sp. KUC8613 is the source of this 93-nucleotide non-coding RNA. The record is from the annotation of a GenBank genome assembly. Lineage: Eukaryota; Fungi; Basidiomycota; Agaricomycetes; Russulales; Hericiaceae.
GUCCGCGUAGAUUAGUGGUUAGAUCAUCACGUUGUGGCUGCCGCCUCGGCUCGCAAUCCCGUGGAAACCCAGGCUCGACUCCUGGCGCGGACA